Molecule: non-coding RNA, 66 nt
Filed under: Bdellovibrio bacteriovorus
Lineage: Bacteria; Pseudomonadati; Bdellovibrionota; Bdellovibrionia; Bdellovibrionales; Pseudobdellovibrionaceae
Source: RNAcentral
UCAGCACUCAAAUUCUGAGUGUCCGGACGAUGUGCGACGUACCCGGUGAAGACAAGACGACGCUUU